UAGAAUGGACAUGCGCACGUGGGCUUUAUAUUUUUUUCACCGCAAAAGUUGUAUUAUCAGCUGACAUGCACCUGCGACAUGAACGAUAUAACUUUAUUUGGCAGCGCUGGGUAGCUAUAUUUUCAAUCAUCAAAUUGUAUGGGGUUUUUUUUUCUAAAAAGACUGCAGUUGGUUUAUUUUCAUUUCAUCAACUGAGCACUGCGAAGGCUAGCUAUGAGCUGCUGGCACCUGAAUCGGGGAGGACUGGCUUGUGGUAAUAAUUGAGCGGAGUGAGUGGACUCAAACACGGUUCCCAUGGGUUUGCUGUCAUUCAAUUCGUCGUUCUAUACAUUAUUAUGAGCGUCCUUAGCAGUCUCCUAUGGCUGCUGGUAAGUUCAGCGAAAAUUUAGAAGUAGCUGUUAGUUGGCUAGCUAACGCAAAUUCCUAGCCUCUCACUGUCAGAUAACGUUACUCAGUAAAGUUCUGCCAGGUUGACACAUUAAAACGUAUUUCUAUAAUUACGGCCGUGACACCAGCUUGUGUAGCCAGCUACGUUUAAUAAUGCUUUAAUGAAUGCGUUUUUACUUAUUUUAUCAUAUCUUUAUAUUCAUGUUAUUGUGCCGUUAUUUCGCAAAGCAGAUCAAUUUGUGGCGUAGCGCGCCAUUCUUUUGAAAAGUGGAACGAGAAAUGCGUUCUUCUGAUUCCGUCAGGACACUUCUCCCCAACGCACCAGUACGCUCAUCAAUCGAUUCCACCAUGUAAAUAUAAUGUCUUCGAAACUUCUUGUGCAAAUUUCACUAUAACAACGCGAAAAAAUACACAUAUGUAAACACAUUUUUCAAUAUGGUCAUGUUUUAAAUUUACAAAGAACAAGUGCAUCAUUAUAUGAAGUUGACCGCCAGCUCAGCUCUACCUCCACAGUCAACAGUGCUUGUUACCAGCAAGGUAUUGUGGGUACUGACAUUCACAGAAUAUUAAUCAAUUUUUAGAUAUAAUUAUAGUAAUUGGCGUACAUUUUAUCAAGAAUAUUGUGUGUCCAUGAACGGGUUUAUAUUUACCUCUGUAAAUCUCGCAGACAAUGACACUUUAGAUUAAACCGUUAGUGGAAAUGCUUGUCCCGACAUAGACUUCCCCUGCUCGCCCAAAGAUACGUUAAGACUAUACUUUCAGGGAUCAUUUCUAUAGUUCUUGACUUGUGAAAUGUGUUUCUAAAGUGUUCGAUCUCGCAACCCACGAUGAUGAGAUGCGAUAUUCCCUUCUGAGCGCGAAGCGGGCUUUGAGUAAUGAUUCAGUUCAUCCGCUCUCUGCCAUUGAUGACCGUUCUUUGCUUCCUUGUGGAGCAUUGAGGGAGGGAAUAUGAUCAGAGUGGUUAGCUUUUAAUAUUGUUAAUAUUAACUUCUUUAGGACACGUAUUGUAGUUGAGUUUUUAAAAUAGUUUAUCACCAUUAUACAACACAGUUGGUUUCAAUACAGUUUAAUGUUCCUGUUUUCCUUGCUAUGACGUUGUAUAGGAGAUAUGUGAUUUUAAUCCAGUCAGAACUCUACCUUUUCAAUUACAUGUGAUUUCUCAAAAGGUUUUUCUUGUAUUUUCUCUAUUGUAGGCCAUUGACUUUUUCAGCCAAUUUUUCAGUCCCAUAAAAACUGCAAUGAGUACCUUCUGGCACCUCCCUCAUUUACAGUUAUAUUGUGGAGCAUCUUGAAAAUGUCUUUUAUGAAGCUUUCUUGGGCAUAAAACACGACAAUAACUGAUUCCUUAUGUGACCUAUUGAUGAAAAGUAGCCCGAUAACCAUGAUUUCGGCCACGUGGUACUAUAUAGUGUGCUCGUUGUACGGUGGGAAACCGUUAGUGAGAAUAACAGCUCCAACAGAGGCUACCCUCGCUCGCCCUCAAUUUAAUUAAGACUAUACUUUCAGGGAUCAUUUCUAUAGUUCUUGACUUGAGAAAUGUGUUUCUAAAGUGUUCGAUCUCGCAACCCACGAUGAUGAGAUGCGAUAUUCCCUUCUGAGCGCGAAGCGGGCUUUGAGUAAUGAUUCAGUUCAUCCGCUCUCUGCCAUUGAUGACCGUUCUUUGCUUCCUUGUGGAGCAUUGAGGGAGGGAAUAUGAUCAGAGUGGUUAACUCCUAAUAUUGAUAAAUUUAAUAUGUUUUUAUUGUAAUUCAGGUUAUUAAUUCAUUUUUCAC
Oncorhynchus tshawytscha (Chinook salmon) is the source of this 2159-nucleotide long non-coding RNA. Lineage: Eukaryota; Metazoa; Chordata; Actinopteri; Salmoniformes; Salmonidae. The record is from Ensembl.